RNAcentral lists this ribosomal RNA (249 nucleotides) under uncultured bacterium. RNAcentral describes it as "partial 16S ribosomal RNA". It matches the Rfam family "Bacterial small subunit ribosomal RNA", at positions 524 to 771 of the family's 1533-position model. The record is from RNAcentral.
UACGGGAGGGUGCGAGCGUUGUCCGGAAUCAUUGGGCGUAAAGGGCGCGUAGGUGGCCCGGUCAGUCCGUGGUGAAAGCGCGGGGCUCAACCCCGCGUCGGCCAUGGAUACUGCUGGGCUGGAGCACUGUAGAGGCAGGCGGAAUUCCGGGUGUAGCGGUGGAAUGCGUAGAUAUCUGGAGGAAUACCGGUGGCGAAGGCGGCAUCCUGGACCGGCAUUGACGCUGAGGAGCGAAAGCUAGGGGAGCAA